RNAcentral lists this ribosomal RNA (497 nucleotides) under uncultured bacterium. RNAcentral describes it as "partial 16S ribosomal RNA". It matches the Rfam family "Bacterial small subunit ribosomal RNA", at positions 28 to 507 of the family's 1533-position model. The record is from RNAcentral.
GAUGAACGCUGGCGGCGUGCCUAAUACAUGCAAGUCGAGCGAACGGACGAGAAGCUUGCUUCUCUGAUGUUAGCGGCGGACGGGUGAGUAACACGUGGAUAACCUACCUAUAAGUCUGGGAUAACUUCGGGAAACCGGAGCUAAUACCGGAUAAUAUUUUGAACCGCAUGGUUCAAUAGUGAAAGACGGUCUUGCUGUCACUUCUAGAUGGUUCCGCGCUGCAUUAGCUAGUUGGUAAGGUAACGGCUUACCAAGGCAACGAUGCAUAGCCGACCUGAGAGGGUGAUCGGCCACACUGGAACUGAGACACGGUCCAGACUCCUACGGGAGGCAGCAGUAGGGAAUCUUCCGCAAUGGGCGAAAGCCUGACGGAGCAACGCCGCGUGAGUGAUGAAGGUCUUCGGAUCGUAAAACUCUGUUAUUAGGGAAGAACAUAUGUGUAAGUAACUGUGCACAUCUUGACGGUACCUAAUCAGAAAGCCACGGCUAACUACGUG